AUACCAUGAAAAAGACAUCUCCUGAGUAACUCCUUAAAUCUUUCUCAUGCAUCAUACAAAUUGUCAUCUUCUAGUUGAUGGAAAGAUGUGAUUUCGUUCCUCAAUUU
The sequence is a small nucleolar RNA, 107 nucleotides long. It matches the Rfam family "Plant small nucleolar RNA R71". From Rfam's summary of the family: R71 is a member of the C/D box family of snoRNAs containing the C (UGAUGA) and D (CUGA) box motifs. The record is from Rfam.